GAUGAACGCUGGCGGCGUGCCUAAUACAUGCAAGUCGAGCGAACGGACGAGAAGCUUGCUUCUCUGAUGUUAGCGGCGGACGGGUGAGUAACACGUGUAUAACCUACCUAUAAGACUGGGAUAACUUCGGGAAACCGGCGCUUAUACCGGAUGAUAUUUUGAACCGCAUGGUUCAAAAGUGAAAGUCGGUCUUGCUGUCACUUAUAGAUGGAUCCGGGCUGCAUUAGCUAGUUGGUAAGGUAACGGCUUACCAAGGCAACGAGGCAUAGCCGACCUGAGAGGGUGAUCGGCCACACUGGAACUGAGACACGGUCCAGACUCCUACGGGAGGCAGCAGUAGGGAAUCUUCCGCAAUGGGCGAGAGCCUGACGGAGCAACGCCGCGUGAGUGAUGAAGGUGUUCGGAUCGGAAAACCCUGUUAUUAGGGGAGAACAUAUGUGUAAGUAACUGUGCACAUAUUGACGGUACCUAAUCAAAAAGCCACGGCUAACUACGUG
Molecule: ribosomal RNA, 497 nt
Filed under: uncultured bacterium
Lineage: Bacteria
Description: partial 16S ribosomal RNA
Rfam family: Bacterial small subunit ribosomal RNA
Source: RNAcentral